CGGGCAAACGUCUCCUGAGCUUACUAAGUAUAGUACGCUUGCUUGUCUGCGUAAUCGUUGCUCCAGUAGAAAGAAUGUUUAUUUUACCAGCAAUAUUUGUCGUAGCCCAACUCUGAUGUCUGGCCUGAAAUCAUAAACAGAAAGAAAACUGGUGAAAACUAAAAAGAGAAAAACUGUGACAGUAACUGAGGUAGAUUCUUCGUCGGUCUCAACGACGAACAUUAAACUGUGCUAUUGGCUGAAUUUCUAAUUAUGAAACUAACGUUUAAGCAGAUGUUCAUUCCACAAACAGAGUGAGAGAGAAACAGCCAGUGCUGGAUUGAAUCCAAUUUGAGACAAUUACUUAAUCCUCCUUCAACCUUAACUGACACUCAGUCGAUUACGAUGACGAGGGUUUCAGUUGAUCCAAUCAACGGAACAGCCUGCUCGUAAAAUUAACGUGCAAGUGGCUGAGCACUCCACAGACACGUGUUCACUUAAUGUGGUUCUUAAGGAAAUUCAGUGUGAUACAGCAUCAAUUUUGCUAGCUGAGUAGACUGGAGAAACGUGAAAUAAUGUGUCUUGCACAAAGAUGCAACGCACCGCCAGGAAUCGAACCCUAACCACUGAGUCGGGCACCUUUAUCCCCUACAAAAGGAUGAAAGGCAAAGUUGACAUCGGUGGUAUUCAAAUUCAGUGGGCAGAGAGCAGAAACAAAUACCGUAAGGCAUUCUAUCCAACUUGGCGAAGAGUCUCAUCUGCAGCCUUUAAGAGUAGUUAUGAUGGCAACGGUAACAGUGAAGGUAUUAUUUGUUUCUAGCGCCGAGGGUGGCUUUGCCUUUCAUCCUUUCGGGGUCGAUGAAAUAAGUACCAGUUACGCACUGGAGUCGAUGUAAUCAACUAGCUCCCUUUCCCCGAAAAAUUUUCAAGGCCUUGUGUUGUGUGUGUGUUGGCACUCCGUCGCUUACGGCGUCGAGGGUUCCAGUCGAUCCGAUCAACGGAACAGCCUGCUCGUGAAGUUAACGUGCAAGUGGCUGAGCACUCCACAGACACGUGUACCCUUAACGUAGUUCUAGGGGACAGUGUGACAAGGCUGACCCUUUGGAUUACAAGCACAACAGAAACAGGAAGUAAGAGUGAGAGAAAGUUGUGGUGGAAGAGUACAGCAGGGUUCACCACCAUCCCCUGGCGGAUCCUCGUGGAGCUUUAGGUGUUUUCGCUCAAUAACCACUCACAACGCCCGGUCUGGGAAUCGAAACCGCGAUCCUAUGACCGGGAGUCCGCUGCCCUAACCACUGGGCCAUUGCGCCUCCACUCAAGGCCUUGUACCAAGAGUAGAAAUAGUUAUUUGUUUCUAGCAUAAGCACCAAGGGAAGCGUUGAAAGGAUAGUUGACCGACGGGAUUUGAGCUCAGAACGUAAAGCUCCAGAAAAAAUCCCGUAAAACAUUUUAUCUGACUCUCUUUCGAUUCUCCCCAUCCACCGCCCUUCGUAAUGGUAAUAAGGAUGAAUGAUAAUGAUAACUAAAGAGUCAGUUUUUACAGUUUGAGAGAAGAAUAUAAAUAAUCCUUUCUACUCCAGGCACAAAGCCUGAAAUUUCGGAGGAGGGUGACAGCCGAUUAGAUCAACCCCAGUACACGACUGGUACUUAAUUUAUUGACCCCGAAAGGAUGAAAGGCAAAGUCGAAGUCAGCGGAAUUUGAACUCAGAAUGUAGCGAUUCUGCCAACUCGCCUCUUUGUAAAGAAUAUGAAUAAUGAUUUCUAACUUUAAUAUAAAAUCAAAAUAUUUUAGGAAAGAAGUUAAAUCGAUUAAAUCGGCGCUGGUAGUCAAAUGGUGUAUCUUUUGGCGAUAGCAGGAAGAUAAGGGCAGUAAGACAUGCACUGAGGACGUGAAGAAACGUAACUAAACACUAUGGUAAUUGACUCGAUAUUAGUAUUUUCGCUUGGCUCCAGGCCGCCUAUUUAUAAGGUCAGUGAGAUAGAUUAUGCAUGUCUUUCUGGCUUGUAAUAAGUUUGAUAUAUUUUUGACCGGUAAACGAAACAGCAUUCUGAAUAAGAUGCGUGAUGAAUAAACAUACUGUGUUACUAUUUCAUAUAAUCUACAUAUAUAGGCGCAGACCUGAUUGCGUGGAAAGAAGUUCGCUUCCCAACCAUGUGACUUCAGGUUCAGCUCCACUGCGCGGCACGUUGUGCAAGUAUCUUGCACUACAGCCUUGUGAGUGGAUUUGGUAGACGAAAACUGAAAGAAGCCUGUCGUAGAUAGAUAGAUAGAUAGGUGCGUGCAUGCAUCUUUGUGUUUACCCCCCAUCACUGCUUAACAACCGAUGAUGGUUUGUUUACGCCCUUGUAACUUACUGUUUCUGCAGAAAAAGAUCGAUAGAAUAAGUAGCAAGCUUAAAAAUAAGUACUGGCGUAGAUUCGUUGGACUAAACCCUUCAAAGCAGUGCUCCAGCAAGACUGCAACAAAAAGUAUGUGUGUAUAAUAAAGUUUGCAUCAACAAUAAUUGCUUCUAAAUAGGUACGAAGUCAGAAAUUUUGACGGGUUGGAUUUUUCCGUAACAUCGACUCCAAUAUGUGACUGGUACUUUAUUUUGGCGGCACCUGAAGGAUGAAAAGAAAAGUUAACCUCGGUCGGAUUUGAACUCAGAAUGUAAAGAGCUAAAACAAAUACCCAACAACGAAUUUGCCAAACCACCGCCUUUAUUGAACAACAUUAAUAAAAAUAAGCAUAAAGAAGAUAGUCACAGUCGAAGAAAAUGGAUUGUGAUGUGUGCCUUAUUUACUUGUAGCUUCUUUCUUUUCAUUUUAAGCUUUACUUGUCUGAACAUGUCUCUGUGAGUACUAUUAAUGCUGUUUCCUUGACAAAUACAAACACUUUUAGCAAAUAUUUGAUACAUACACAAACAUAAAUGCAUGUAUAUGCAUGCAUACACAUAUGUGUAUGUAGCUGUCGCUUUUUCUCUCGCCCACCAUGUAUAGAGUUUACAUUCUUCUAUCCACGCUUCAUUAAAAAUGUUAUUUACA
This is a long non-coding RNA of Octopus bimaculoides (California two-spot octopus), 3003 nucleotides long. RefSeq lists it as uncharacterized. The record is from RefSeq and is a predicted model, not a curated record. NCBI's taxonomy places the organism in Eukaryota, Metazoa, Mollusca, Cephalopoda, Octopoda, Octopodidae.